AGCGAACGCUGGCGGCAGGCUUAACACAUGCAAGUCGAGCGGGCCCUUCGGGGUCAGCGGCAGACGGGUGAGUAACACGUGGGAACGUACCCUUUGGUUCGGAAUAACGCUGGGAAACUAGCGCUAAUACCGGAUACGCCCUUUUGGGGAAAGGCUUGCUGCCGAAGGAUCGGCCCGCGUCUGAUUAGCUAGUUGGUGGGGUAAUGGCCUACCAAGGCGACGAUCAGUAGCUGGUCUGAGAGGAUGAUCAGCCACACUGGGACUGAGACACGGCCCAGACUCCUACGGGAGGCAGCAGUGGGGAAUAUUGGACAAUGGGCGCAAGCCUGAUCCAGCCAUGCCGCGUGAGUGAUGAAGGCCUUAGGGUUGUAAAGCUCUUUUGUCCGGGACGAUAAUGACGGUACCGGAAGAAUAAGCCCCGGCUAACUUCGUU
This 433-nucleotide ribosomal RNA is filed under the name uncultured bacterium. RNAcentral's name for it is "partial 16S ribosomal RNA". It matches the Rfam family "Bacterial small subunit ribosomal RNA", at positions 29 to 507 of the family's 1533-position model. The record is from RNAcentral.